RNAcentral lists this ribosomal RNA (512 nucleotides) under uncultured bacterium. RNAcentral describes it as "bacterial SSU rRNA". It matches the Rfam family "Bacterial small subunit ribosomal RNA", at positions 36 to 518 of the family's 1533-position model. The record is from RNAcentral.
CUGGCGGCGUGCCUAAUACAUGCAAGUCGAACGGCUUUUCUAUGGAAGCUUGCUUCCACUGAGAAGAUAGUGGCGAAACGGGUGAGUAACACGUGGGGUAACCCUGCCCAUAAGAGGGGGGAUAACAUCCGGAAACGGGUGCUAAUACCGCAUAGUUUCUUGAUCGCAUGAUCGGGAAAGGAAAGACGGCCUUUGUGCUGUCGCUUAUGGAUGGACCCGCGGCGUAUUAGUUAGUUGGUGUGGUAACGGCUCACCAAGACGAUGAUACGUAGCCGACCUGAGAGGGUGAUCGGCCACAUUGGGACUGAGACACGGCCCAAACUCCUACGGGAGGCAGCAGUAGGGAAUCUUCCGCAAUGGACGAAGGUCUGACGGAGCAACGCCGCGUGAGUGAAAGAAGGUUUUCGGAUCGUAAAACUCUGUUGUCAGAGAAGAACAAGUUGGAGAGUAACUGCUCCAGCCUUGACGGUAUCUGACCAGAAAGCCACGGCUAACUACGUGCCAGCCGCCGC